UCCCUGGUGGCUUAGCAGUUAAGGAUGUGGUAUUGUCACUGCUGUGGCUCAGGUUCAAUCCCUGGCCUGGGAA
RNAcentral lists this transfer RNA (73 nucleotides) under Sus scrofa (pig). It matches the Rfam family "tRNA". From Rfam's summary of the family: Transfer RNA (tRNA) molecules are approximately 80 nucleotides in length. Lineage: Eukaryota; Metazoa; Chordata; Mammalia; Artiodactyla; Suidae. The record is from Rfam by way of RNAcentral.